GCAGGCGUGCUGGCGGCGAGUCCCUGCGGCUCGGGAUGGAGGGCCUGGCAACCGCUGAUGUGCUGCUGCCUGUCACUGUAGAUUUGCCCUUUCUAGAAUCCUUCCAGUAGAAUGUCCUAUAUAAGUGGAAUCACACAGCUGAACGUUUGUUUUGCCUUUGUGUCUUGCUAUUCCUCUGAAGAACAGAAGGCACAUCUUAAACCCCGACACUUCCCCUGCAUUCCAUGAGAUUAUAGCAAAAUGGACAUACCAAAUCCCCCAACUUCCAAAUGUAUCACUUAUUGGAAAAGAAAAGUUAAAUCUGAAUACAUGCGACUUCGACAACUUAAACGGCUUCAGGCAAACAUGGGUGCAAAGGCUCUGUAUGUAGCAAAUUUUGCGA
This is a long non-coding RNA of Talpa occidentalis (Iberian mole), 382 nucleotides long. RefSeq lists it as uncharacterized. The transcript is spliced from 5 exons. The record is from RefSeq and is a predicted model, not a curated record. Lineage: Eukaryota; Metazoa; Chordata; Mammalia; Eulipotyphla; Talpidae.